RNAcentral lists this non-coding RNA (24 nucleotides) under Arabidopsis thaliana (thale cress). Lineage: Eukaryota; Viridiplantae; Streptophyta; Magnoliopsida; Brassicales; Brassicaceae. The record is from RNAcentral.
UGGACCCAGUUCCCAAUAGUGUCU